GAGAGAGUGCCCUUCGGGGAGCUUGAAAACAGGUGCUGCACGGCUGUCGUCAGCUCGUGUCGUGAGAUGUUGGGUUAAGUCCCGCAACGAGCGCAACCCUCGUCGUUAGUUGCUAACAGUUCGGCUGAGCACUCUAGCGAGACUGCCUUCGCAAGGAGGAGGAAGGUGAGGACGACGUCAAGUCAUCAUGGCCCUUAUGGCUAGGGCUACACACGUGCUACAAUGGGGCGUACAGAGAGUUGCAAUACCGCGAGGUGGAGCCAAUCUCAUAAAGCGUCUCUCAGUUCGGAUUGUUCUCUGCAACUCGAGAACAUGAAGCUGGAAUCACUAGUAAUCGUAGAUCAGCAUUGCUACGGUGAAUACGUUCCCGGGUCUUGUACUCACCGCCCGUCACACCAUGGGAGUUGAUUUCGCCCGAAGCGGGGAUGCUAAACUAGCUACCCUCUACGGCGGAAUUAGCGACUGGGGUGAAGUCGUAACAAGGUAACCGUAGGAGAACC
Molecule: ribosomal RNA, 500 nt
Filed under: uncultured bacterium
Lineage: Bacteria
Description: bacterial SSU rRNA
Rfam family: Bacterial small subunit ribosomal RNA
Source: RNAcentral